AACCAACAGGGAUUGCCCCAGUAACGGCGAGUGAAGCGGCAAGAGCUCAAAUUUGAAAUCUGGCCCCGUCGGGGUCCGAGUUGUAAUUUGCAGAGGAUGCUUCGGGUGCGGCCCCCGUCUAAGUGCCCUGGAACGGGCCGCCGGAGAGGGUGAGAGUCCCGUCUGGGACGGGUGGCCGCGUCCGUGUGAAGCUCCUUCGACGAGUCGAGUUGUUUGGGAAUGCAGCUCUAAAUGGGUGGUAAAUUUCAUCUAAAGCUAAAUAUUGGCCGGAGACCGAUAGCGCACAAGUAGAGUGAUCGAAAGAUGAAAAGCACUUUGAAAAGAGAGUUAAAUAGCACGUGAAAUUGUUGAAAGGGAAGCGCUUGCGACCAGACUCGCCCACGGGGGUUCAGCCGGCACUCGUGCCGGUGCACUCCCCCGCGGGCGGGCCAGCGUCGGUUUGGGCGGUCGGUCAAAGGCCCCCGGAAUGUGUCGCCCCUCGGGGCGUCUUAUAGCCGGGGGUGCAAUGCGGCCAGCCCGGACCGAGGACCGCGCUUCGGCAUGGACGCUGGCGUAAUGGUCGUAAGCGACCCGUCUUGAAACACGGACCAAGGAGUCUAACAUCUACGCGAGUGUUCGGGUGUUAAACCCGUCCGCGCAGUGAAAGCGAACGGAGGUGGGAACCCCUCGCGGGUGCACCAUCGACCGAUCCUGAUGUCUUCGGAUGGAUUUGAGUAAGAGCGUAGCUGUUGGGACCCGAAAGAUGGUGAACUAUGCCUGAAUAGGGCGAAGCCAGAGGAAACUCUGGUGGAGGCUCGCAGCGGUUCUGACGUGCAAAUCGAUCGUCAAAUUUGGGUAUAGGGGCGAAAGACUAAUCGAACCAUCUAGUAGCUGGUUCCUGCCGA
RNAcentral lists this unclassified non-coding RNA (884 nucleotides) under Thermoascus aurantiacus. Its description in RNAcentral is "sequence contains 28S rRNA gene". It matches the Rfam family "Eukaryotic large subunit ribosomal RNA", at positions 63 to 964 of the family's 3401-position model. The record is from RNAcentral. Lineage: Eukaryota; Fungi; Ascomycota; Eurotiomycetes; Eurotiales; Thermoascaceae.